CCAAAUGACCUGUAGCCUUAUGGUUACAACAGCCUUAGUAGCAUUUGAGGUCCUAGGUUCGACUUCUCGUUGGAGCGAAUAUUUUAGGAGAGGCGACUGUGUAAUCACAAAAGAAAACAAAGAGAAAAAACCUUCCACAUGGUAAAGAACAACAGUGACUCGUGGAUCCCUUGCACCGUCCGCCAUCCCCUUCACAACACCCUGCCUAGAAAGAAACUGUAACAUCA
This 227-nucleotide long non-coding RNA is filed under the name Oryza brachyantha (malo sina). RNAcentral's name for it is "long non-coding RNA (OBRA_LNC003117)". The record is from RNAcentral. Lineage: Eukaryota; Viridiplantae; Streptophyta; Magnoliopsida; Poales; Poaceae.